AUGGGGCAGUUGGAAGAAAAUAGAAAUAGUGAAUCAAAAACUAAGCUUUUCAAGAUUACUACUUCCAGUGAGGAGGAGUGUCAUGAGAGCAUGGGAAAAAAAAAAAAAAAGGCUUGCAGAUCCCUAUUUAUGGUGAUGUUAAUCACGACUGUGUUAUCUCCCAGAGCUGCCUCCUUCCCCAGCAUUUCUGCAAGCUUUCACUGCGUUUUUGUGCUACACCAGGGCCCCGGAGCACCCAACGGCGUCGGUCUGCUGCCUCCCACGGCUGCAGCUAUCUGCUCUGCGCACGACAAAUGGCCGGGGCCGUGGCACCUUCAACUUUUGCAGCUGGUUCCUCUUGAACGUCGUCUUGCAGAAAGCAAAAUGUCAAGGAUAAAAGAAAUAAUUGACCAUAGAAAACAAGAAGCUGAAUGUCUGCUGCACAUCACGGAUGUUAAGUGUGGAGCAUCCGGUGUUCAUAGCUGUCCCAUCAUGAAGUGAAAGUGCUGGGGAAGAAGGAAGGCUGCCCUCCUCACCCUCCCCGUGCUGGGGUCACCUUGAUUUGCACUGCAACCAUACCUGGCUGGGCUUAUGGAAGUGGAUGGUUUAGAAAUCCACAUGAAAAAAAAAAAAAAGCUAAACAAACAAACCCACAAAAACAACAACAACAAACACACACACACACACAAAACCAUUAGCUUCACAGAUACAGGAAUAUCAGGGCUUUAGGCAGAGUUGGGACCACCCUGUACACAGAUGAGAUGAAACUGCGUUAGCUCAGCCUGACUAUCAGUUUGUAUACUGUCAUCCAGGCUGGAUAUUUCUAAAGUUUUCAGAGAAAACAGCAUCUUUUCUGGCUACUUGGUGUCCCUCUCAUUCUUAAUAUUUGAACUACACAUUUCUUCAUAUUUGUUAUAAACAGCCCACUUGUUGUUCCUUGUUCCAUAUUCAUGAAGGUGCUUUUUAAUAAUUACUUUUUGUAUUUUUAUUUUUUUAAUGGAAUUAAUGAGUCAGAAAUAGAAAUAAUGAGUCUUGCCUUCUAGUAUAAACAUAUAGAAAUGUGCCUUUCACAGCUGAAAAUUCCUAUUAUCUCACCUGCUAACAAAGGUAUAGUUUCUUCUGAGAUUCUUUGUGCUUGUGAGGACUAUCUAGGCUCUUUGAUAGCAAAGUAAAAUACAAGGUUGUAGCAAAUUAAUAAAUGAGAAGCUUUUUGAAAGAAAACCUAACUC
RNAcentral lists this long non-coding RNA (1208 nucleotides) under Anser brachyrhynchus (Pink-footed goose). Its description in RNAcentral is "lncRNA (ENSABRG00000008291.1)". The record is from RNAcentral. Lineage: Eukaryota; Metazoa; Chordata; Aves; Anseriformes; Anatidae.